RNAcentral lists this ribozyme (50 nucleotides) under Escherichia coli. RNAcentral's name for it is "RNA (50-MER) from Escherichia coli (PDB 6UF1, chain A)". It matches the Rfam family "Pistol ribozyme", at positions 1 to 49 of the family's 68-position model. Lineage: Bacteria; Pseudomonadati; Pseudomonadota; Gammaproteobacteria; Enterobacterales; Enterobacteriaceae. The record is from Rfam by way of RNAcentral.
ACUCGUUUGAGCGAGUAUAAACAGUUGGUUAGGCUCAAAGCGGAGAGCAG